AUCCAGCUGACGAGUACCAAGUGGGACGGAACCCGCGUCCUGGAU
Molecule: non-coding RNA, 45 nt
Organism: Schistosoma margrebowiei
Lineage: Eukaryota; Metazoa; Platyhelminthes; Trematoda; Strigeidida; Schistosomatidae
Source: Rfam